CAGGAUCUAAACUCCAUCAUGAAAUUCCUGGAGUGUUCGGUGAGAAUGGCUUUGCUGGAAAGUCUCCAAGAGGGAUCAGCUCUCAACGUCCCACAAUCUCAAGAAUAACGUAUCAUAUUCAGAGGAGAUUACACAGAAAGCAAAGUGCCCUAGAUACACACAGAUUUGUACAUGAUUGUACGUACUGUAAGUUAUUUUGCUCUUACCGCAGACGGCAGAGCGGAUCCCGGCUGGACUUUCCCGCUGGCCUGUCUGAAGGCGAUGCGCUUCCUGCGCCUCCGGAGGAAGACGUAGAUGCGGAUGUAGACCAGCAGCGUGACCAUGAAGGGCAGGUAGAAGGACACCACGGACGAGUAGAUGACAAACUCUGGGUUGGAGAUGGAGCACACCGUGGGGUCAUCUGGAAAGGGCACACACACACACACA
Long non-coding RNA from Sardina pilchardus (European sardine), 426 nucleotides. RefSeq lists it as uncharacterized. Lineage: Eukaryota; Metazoa; Chordata; Actinopteri; Clupeiformes; Clupeidae. The record is from RefSeq and is a predicted model, not a curated record. The transcript is spliced from 3 exons.